AGAGAGAGAGAGAGAGAGAGAGAGAGAGAGAGAGAGAGAGUGUGUGUGUGUGUCCCUGCUAUCAGCUAACAUGUUGGUGCUAUUUUUCUUCUGAUGUGACCUUACUCCAGAAAUGUUCUUCCCCUGCCUGUGCACUCUGGCUGCUCAGGCAGUGCCUGCCCCACUACCGGGGUUUCACAUGAACAUUUCAUGGACCUGGUUUGCCAACUACAGCCAGAGCUUUAUGAUAAAGCAUAUUUUACAGUUUGUUUUCUUAUGGUUCUGAAUUUUCUACUAAAAGGCUACUUGGUCCUCAGGGGUUAUUAGGAAUAAGACUACUCGUCAUCACGGUUUGCCGAGCAGAUAUCUGGUCCCUACUUCCCCUGCUCUGAGCUUUCCUGAGCUGCCCUGGGGUGGGACCAAGAUCCUUCCUGCUCAGAAGAGUGUAGGUUCAGCUGGAGUCUGUCUGUCAACAGCGAGUAGGACCCUGAAGCUGAGCUCUGUCUCAAGAGAAUCAGGUAUCUUUAUCCCUGGGGAAGCAGAGUGUGUGUGAGGGCAGGGCAGCCAGCUACCCACUGAUGAGGCUAUGGAAUUGCUCUUUUGUUUUGUUCUGCCUUUUUCUGUUUUUGAAUCCAGGACCUCAUACAUACAGUACACAGAGUACCACUGAGUCACACCCCAGCUUUGGCAAGUGCUUUCAGCUCCCUAUGACUUUUUCCUGACUAGCCCAGGCUGAACCAAGCCUUCAGCAUGCUAACAGAUAAUGAGGGCCGUCUAGGAAAUGACCAAGCUUCACUUGAUGGCAGAUUUGAGUUUUAGAAGUAGAAGUAGCCUCCCUGGCUCGUGUCAAUCAGAAAUUGGUAUAAUACAGAGAUUGAAUUUGUAAGUGGCUAAAUAGGGGUCAUAAGCCCUUAUAUUUUCCAAGAAUAAAUACUUUUACUUUUAAAUAAUAGGAUGUACACACUGGUGCGGGGUCGGGGUCAGAACUCUACCUGGGUGGCUUCCAGGUGGCACGUCCCCAUAGGAUGGUAAGAGUGAGCCAGAUCCCUGGGACUGGAGUUCUGUCACCUGUGCCACAGGUAGGUUUAUAUGGUGGCUCUCCCAGGUGAGAAGCUUGUUAGAGGUGCAUUUUCUGUGGAAUCAUUAGGAGAGGGGCUAGCAGCCACCCCCAGGUUCCAGUGCAUGCAUUGAAGGCCAUUGCUGCUGUAUUGUGCUCCACCUACAGGGAAACAUUCCUCAGAGGGUUGUCCCCGCUCUGCUGGUAAUCCUGACACUUGAUGCCAUCACACACUUGGAAACUUCUAAGACAUACUUGUGUAAAAUAAACUCAACUAGUCAUCCGUAGAGGUGACAUUUUUACACCUUGCACUUCUGCUCUUGAGGUCCUGUUGCAACCGUGUGACAGAAUUCUAUUCAGUAUUAAAGUGAGAAGAAGACCA
This 1418-nucleotide long non-coding RNA is filed under the name Rattus norvegicus (Norway rat). RNAcentral's name for it is "long non-coding RNA NONRATT008334". Lineage: Eukaryota; Metazoa; Chordata; Mammalia; Rodentia; Muridae. The record is from RNAcentral.